This 450-nucleotide ribosomal RNA is filed under the name uncultured bacterium. RNAcentral describes it as "bacterial SSU rRNA". It matches the Rfam family "Bacterial small subunit ribosomal RNA", at positions 354 to 796 of the family's 1533-position model. The record is from RNAcentral.
GUGGGGAAUAUUGGACAAUGGGCGAAAGCCUGAUCCAGCCAUGCCGCGUGUGUGAAGAAGGUCUUCGGAUUGUAAAGCACUUUAAGUUGGGAGGAAGGGCAGUAAGUUAAUACCUUGCUGUUUUGACGUUACCGACAGAAUAAGCACCGGCUAACUUCGUGCCAGCAGCCGCGGUAAUACGAAGGGUGCAAGCGUUAAUCGGAAUUACUGGGCGUAAAGCGCGCGUAGGUGGUUUUGUAAGUUGGAGGUGAAAUCCCCGGGCUCAACCUGGGAACUGCCUCCAAAACUGCAUGACUAGAGUACGGUAGAGGGUAGUGGAAUUUCCUGUGUAGCGGUGAAAUGCGUAGAUAUAGGAAGGAACACCAGUGGCGAAGGCGACUACCUGGACUGAUACUGACACUGAGGUGCGAAAGCGUGGCGAGCAAACAGGAUUAGAUACCCUUGUAGUCC